GCUCAGAACUUAAAUGAAUUGACGGGGCCGCACAAGCGGUGGAGUAUGUGGUUUAAUUCGAUGCAACGCGAAGAACCUUACCUGGUCUUGACAUCCCGGAGACCCUUAGGAAACUAGGGGGUGCUUCCAUCUGGAAGAAUCUGGAGACAGGUGCUGCAUGGCUGUCGUCAGCUCGUGUCGUGAGAUGUUGGGUUAAGUCCCGCAACGAGCGCAACCCUUGCCUUUAGUUGCCAGCAGUUCGGCUGGGCACUCUAAAGGGACUGCCGGUGUUAAACCGGAGGAAGGUGGGGAUGACGUCAAGUCCUCAUGGCCUUUAUGACCAGGGCUACACACGUACUACAAUGGCCGAUACAAAGGGCAGCGACACUGCGAGGUGAAGCCAAUCCCGUAAAAUCGGUCUCAGUCCGGAUUGGAGUCUGCAACUCGACUCCAUGAAGUUGGAAUCGCUAGUAAUCGUGGAUCAGCAUGCCACGGUGAAUACGUUCCCGGGCCUU
RNAcentral lists this ribosomal RNA (494 nucleotides) under uncultured Desulfobulbus sp. RNAcentral's name for it is "bacterial SSU rRNA". It matches the Rfam family "Bacterial small subunit ribosomal RNA", at positions 892 to 1382 of the family's 1533-position model. The record is from RNAcentral. Lineage: Bacteria; Pseudomonadati; Thermodesulfobacteriota; Desulfobulbia; Desulfobulbales; Desulfobulbaceae.